This 358-nucleotide ribosomal RNA is filed under the name Caulobacter vibrioides. RNAcentral describes it as "bacterial SSU rRNA". It matches the Rfam family "Bacterial small subunit ribosomal RNA", at positions 1175 to 1533 of the family's 1533-position model. Lineage: Bacteria; Pseudomonadati; Pseudomonadota; Alphaproteobacteria; Caulobacterales; Caulobacteraceae. The record is from RNAcentral.
GGGGAUAACGUCAAGUCCUCAUGGCCCUUAGAAGGUGGGCUACACACGUGCUACAAUGGCGACUACAGAGGGCUCGAACCCGCGAGGGGGAGCCAAUCCCUAAAAGUGCUCUCAGUUCGGAUUGCUCUCUGCACUCGAGAGCAUGAAGUUGGAAUCGCUAGUAAUCGCGGAUCAGCAUGCCGCGGUGAAUACGUUCCCGGGCCUUGUACACACCGCCCGUCACACCAUGGGAGUUGGACUUUACCCGAGCGCUAGCUCCUAACCUGCUAAGGGGGCUAGGCUGAUUCUGGUAGGGCCGACUGACUGGGGUUGAAGCGUAACAAGGUAACCGAGGGGAACCGCGGUUGGACACCUCUUC